RNAcentral lists this transfer RNA (71 nucleotides) under Loxodonta africana (African savanna elephant). It matches the Rfam family "tRNA". From Rfam's summary of the family: Transfer RNA (tRNA) molecules are approximately 80 nucleotides in length. Their secondary structure includes four short double-helical elements and three loops (D, anti-codon, and T loops). Lineage: Eukaryota; Metazoa; Chordata; Mammalia; Proboscidea; Elephantidae. The record is from Rfam by way of RNAcentral.
GCAGUGAUGGUUCAGUGGUAGAAUCCUCGCCUUCAAUGAGGGAGGCCCGGGUUAGAUUCCUGGCCAAUGAA